ACAAGCCCAAGCUGUAUGGCAUCUGAUAUUGCUUCCCCGAGGAGGGGCUCAGAUUGGUAAAGAGCAGCAGUAUCAAAGUGUCGAUAACCUAGUUUUAUUGCAUGUAAAAUGGAGUCUUUCAUGGUCUCAGAGGAAGCACCAAAAGGGUAUUCUGCUGUUCCAAAACCUAAGAGAGGAAUAGUUUUGUCACUCGAAACAAGGAUGGUCUCUGGAAUGUUUCCCAUUUUCUCUAGGUAGCCCAGUCUCCAAUGAGUUUCUGUUCUUUAC
RNAcentral lists this unclassified non-coding RNA (267 nucleotides) under Hevea brasiliensis (rubber tree). The record is from RNAcentral. Lineage: Eukaryota; Viridiplantae; Streptophyta; Magnoliopsida; Malpighiales; Euphorbiaceae.